GGUGGCUCAGUGGUAAAGUGCUUGCCUUGCAUGCAUGAGGUCCUGGGUUCGAUUCCUCAGCACCA
Molecule: non-coding RNA, 65 nt
Organism: Dipodomys ordii (Ord's kangaroo rat)
Lineage: Eukaryota; Metazoa; Chordata; Mammalia; Rodentia; Heteromyidae
Source: Rfam